CCUACGGGAGGCAGCAGUGGGGAAUAUUGCACAAUGGGGGAAACCCUGAUGCAGCGACGCCGCGUGAGCGAUGAAGUAUUUCGGUAUGUAAAGCUCUAUCAGCAGGGAAGAAAAUGACGGUACCUGACUAAGAAGCCCCGGCUAACUACGUGCCAGCAGCCGCGGUAAUACGUAGGGGGCAAGCGUUAUCCGGAUUUACUGGGUGUAAAGGGAGCGUAGACGGCUUGGCAAGCCAGAUGUGAAAGGCUGGGGCUCAACCCCAGGACUGCAUUUGGAACUGUCAUGCUAGAGUGUCGGAGGGGCAGGCGGGAAUCCGAGGGGAGGGGGGGAAUG
RNAcentral lists this ribosomal RNA (333 nucleotides) under uncultured bacterium. RNAcentral's name for it is "partial 16S ribosomal RNA". It matches the Rfam family "Bacterial small subunit ribosomal RNA", at positions 338 to 688 of the family's 1533-position model. The record is from RNAcentral.